AUGGACCAAGAUGAUUACGGAUAUGGGGGGAGAACAGAUGACACAUUCUUUAUGGCCUGGCUUGCGGUUGCCUUCAGCACUUUCUUAGCACCAACCACGGCCUUUAAGCUCAGCCCAAAGUGCUAUGGACUCGUGCUAGAUCAUGAAAACCUCAAGAACACAAACAUCUGCCUUUUUGUAGCAGAACACAUUAACGAAGCUUUCCGGAACAUGGACCAAGAUAAGCAAACUGUCUGCUGCUGCUUGUAUCACUUGAUGAUACUAUACCUUGAUGCGCUUGUCCAUGACAUCCCAGUAAGCAACUGCACGAUACGAUCGAAUGCAUGGGAUAGUACUCUAAUUGCCAAGGUGAUCAAGAAGGAUACCAUCUUUAAAGAGGAGUAUAGAGGCAUGGAGCAUACACCACUGUUUGGUGGAAUUUUGCAAGCUGAAGCAUUCGUGGCAUCCAAGUUACCAAUAACCUACAAUCCGCAGAAAAAGGCAAAGAUUGCGAAAGUGGUCAAUGACCUGUGCAAGGCUGAGGAGGAGGAGGAGGAGGAGGAGGAGGGCAAACAAGAAGAGGACAAAGGAGAGGAGGAGGAGGAGGAAGAAGAUAGUGAGGCAAAGGAGGAGGAAGAAGAAGGUGAGGCCGAAGAGGGGGACGGGGACAAAGGUGCAGCAGUUGAUGGCAGUGAGAGGGGAGAAGACAAAGGCGCAUCAGUUGAUGGCAGUGAGAGGGGAGAAGACAAAGGCGCAUCAGUUGAUGGCAGUGAGAGGGAAGAAGAAGACGAGAACGGUUAUGGUGAUGAUGUUGGGGGAUCCAAUGGAGGCAGUGACAGCAGCGAUGAUGAUGAUGAUGAUGAUGACAAUGCCCCUGGUUCUGGUGGUACAGGCGGCAACACAUCCAGGAGGACUAGCACUUCCGCCACUCCUGCCAGCAGCAGCAAUUCAUUGAGUAGCAGGAGCACACUACAGAUGUUAAUCGACAAAACUUGCUGGAAAGACAAGGAUUUUCCAAAGUCAAAGAAAAUGACGAAGCAGAGUCUCAGGGCAGCAUUGAUAUGUUCAAGCUCUGCAACUUGA
This 1062-nucleotide ribosomal RNA is filed under the name Triticum aestivum (bread wheat). Its description in RNAcentral is "partial small subunit ribosomal RNA". The record is from RNAcentral. Lineage: Eukaryota; Viridiplantae; Streptophyta; Magnoliopsida; Poales; Poaceae.